This 485-nucleotide ribosomal RNA is filed under the name uncultured bacterium. Its description in RNAcentral is "partial 16S ribosomal RNA". It matches the Rfam family "Bacterial small subunit ribosomal RNA", at positions 29 to 523 of the family's 1533-position model. The record is from RNAcentral.
AAUGAACGCUGGCGGCGUGCUUAACACAUGCAAGUCGAACGGUGAACACGGAGCUUGCUCUGUGGGAUCAGUGGCGAACGGGUGAGUAACACGUGAGCAACCUGCCCCUGACUCUGGGAUAAGCGCUGGAAACAGCGUCUAAUACUGGAUACGAGUAGCGGCCGCAUGGUCAGUUACUGGAAAGAUUUUUUGGUUGGGGAUGGGCUCGCGGCCUAUCAGCUUGUUGGUGAGGUAAUGGCUCACCAAGGCGUCGACGGGUAGCCGGCCUGAGAGGGUGACCGGCCACACUGGGACUGAGACACGGCCCAGACUCCUACGGGAGGCAGCAGUGGGGAAUAUUGCACAAUGGGCGAAAGCCUGAUGCAGCAACGCCGCGUGAGGGAUGACGGCCUUCGGGUUGUAAACCUCUUUUAGCAGGGAAGAAGCGAAAGUGACGGUACCUGCAGAAAAAGCGUCGGCUAACUACGUGCCAGCCGCCGCCGUAA